This is a small nuclear RNA of Aotus nancymaae (Ma's night monkey), 106 nucleotides long. The record is from Ensembl. NCBI's taxonomy places the organism in Eukaryota, Metazoa, Chordata, Mammalia, Primates, Aotidae.
AUGCUUACUUUGGCAGCACAUAUACUAAAACUGGAAUGAUACAGAGAAGAUUAGCAUGGCCCCUGUGCAAGAUAACAAGCAAAUUCAUGAAGCAUUCCAUAUUUUU